AAAACAAAAAAUGGCAGUCGGACGAGAGACCCUUCGGGUCUCUAGUGGCGAACGGGUGAGUAACACGUAGGGAACCUCGCUCGCGCACCGGGAAUACGCUCUGGAAACGGAGAACAAAUCCCGAUGUACAGGAAGGAGGCAUCUUCUUUCUGUGAAACAUCCUUUAGGGGAUGGGGCGCGGAUGGACCUGCGGUGCAUUAGUUGGUUGGCGGGGUAAAGGCCCACCAAGACGAUGAUGCAUAGCCGGCCUGAGAGGGCGGACGGCCACAUUGGGACUGAGACACGGCCCAGACUCCUGCGGGAGGCAGCAGUAGGGAAUUUUCGUCAAUGGGCGCAAGCCUGAACGAGCCAUGCCGCGUGAGUGAAGAAGGCCUUCGGGUCGUAAAGCUCUGUUGCGGGGGAAAAAAGGCAGCAUCAGGAAAUGGGUGCGGACUGAUGGUGCCCCGCCAGAAAGUCACGGCUAACUACGUGCCAGCAGCCGCGGUAAUACGUAGGUGGCGAGCGUUAUCCGGAAUGAUUGGGCGUAAAGGGUGCGCAGGCGGUCCUGCAAGUCUGGAGUGAAACGCAUGAGCUCAACUCAUGCAUGGCUUUGGAAACUGGAGGACUGGAGAGCGGGAGAGGGCGGUGGAACUCCAUGUGUAGCGGUAAAAUGCGUAGAUAUAUGGAAGAACACCAGUGGCGAAGGCGGCCGCCUGGCCUGUUGCUGACGCUGAGGCACGAAAGCGUGGGGAGCAAAUAGGAUUAGAUACC
RNAcentral lists this ribosomal RNA (750 nucleotides) under uncultured bacterium. Its description in RNAcentral is "bacterial SSU rRNA". It matches the Rfam family "Bacterial small subunit ribosomal RNA", at positions 50 to 786 of the family's 1533-position model. The record is from RNAcentral.